AUGUAAGUAAUAAAAAGCUUAAAAAGACACCCGAGACCCAUGGGGGCCCAGUGUGCAAUGGCUGCAAACAGCAGCCUCCUUGGUAGUGUAUGCAACCUGUUGCCUGUACAGGUAGCCCUAAGGGACCUUGGAGACAACU
Molecule: small nucleolar RNA, 139 nt
Organism: Dama dama (fallow deer)
Lineage: Eukaryota; Metazoa; Chordata; Mammalia; Artiodactyla; Cervidae
Product: small nucleolar RNA SNORA70
Exons: 1
Source: RefSeq, a predicted model, not a curated record